UGAUCAUGGCUCAGAUUGAACGCUGGCGGCAGGCCUAACACAUGCAAGUCGAGCGGUAACACAGAGAGCUUGCUCUCGGGUGACGAGCGGCGGACGGGUGAGUAAUGUCUGGGAAACUGCCUGAUGGAGGGGGAUAACUACUGGAAACGGUAGCUAAUACCGCAUAACGUCGCAAGACCAAAGUGGGGGACCUUCGGGCCUCAUGCCAUCAGAUGUGCCCAGAUGGGAUUAGCUAGUAGGUGGGGUAAUGGCUCACCUAGGCGACGAUCCCUAGCUGGUCUGAGAGGAUGACCAGCCACACUGGAACUGAGACACGGUCCAGACUCCUACGGGAGGCAGCAGUGGGGAAUAUUGCACAAUGGGCGCAAGCCUGAUGCAGCCAUGCCGCGUGUAUGAAGAAGGCCUUCGGGUUGUAAAGUACUUUCAGCGAGGAGGAAGGCGUUAAGGUUAAUAACCUUGGCGAUUGACGUUACUCGCAGAAGAAGCACCGGCUAACUCCGUGCCAGCCGCCAGCGUUCAAU
Molecule: ribosomal RNA, 521 nt
Filed under: uncultured bacterium
Lineage: Bacteria
Description: bacterial SSU rRNA
Rfam family: Bacterial small subunit ribosomal RNA
Source: RNAcentral